AAUAGAUACCCAGGUAGUCCUAGCCGUAAACGAUGACCACUAGGCGUGGGAGGUAUCGACCCCUUCCGUGCCGCAGCAUACGCAUUAAGUGGUCCGCCUGGGGAGUACGGUCGCAAGAUUAAAACUCAAAGGAAUUGACGGGGACCCGCACAAGCAGCGGAGCGUGUGGUUUAAUUCGAUGCAACGCGAAGAACCUUACCAGGACUUGACAUGCAACUGCACCACCCGUAAUGGGGUGUCCCUUCGGGGCGAUUGCACAGGUGCUGCAUGGCUGUCGUCAGCUCGUGUCGUGAGAUGUUGGGUUAAGUCCCGCAACGAGCGCAACCCUCGCCUUUAGUUGCCGCGCAAGCGGAUCUCUAGAGGGACUGCCGGUGUUAAACCGGAGGAAGGUGUGGAUGACGUCAAGUCAGCAUGCCCCCUUACGUUCUGGGCUACACACGUACUACAAUGCUACGGACGAGAGGGUUGGUCGAGCCGUGCGAGGCAAGCUAACUCCGUAACCGUGGCUCAGUUCAGAUGCNG
Molecule: ribosomal RNA, 522 nt
Filed under: uncultured bacterium
Lineage: Bacteria
Description: bacterial SSU rRNA
Rfam family: Bacterial small subunit ribosomal RNA
Source: RNAcentral